GACGAACGCUGGCGGCGUGCCUAAUACAUGCAAGUCGAACGCUGAAGAGAGGAGCUUGCUCUUCUUGGAUGAGUUGCGAACGGGUGAGUAACGCGUAGGUAACCUGCCUGGUAGCGGGGGAUAACUAUUGGAAACGAUAGCUAAUACCGCAUAAAAUGGAUUAUCGCAUGAUAAUCCAUUGAAAGGUGCAAAUGCAUCACUACCAAAUGGACCUGCGUUGUAUUAGCUAGUUGGUGGGGUAACGGCUCACCAAGGCGACGAUACAUAGCCGACCUGGGAGGGUGAUCGGGCAAACUGGGAAUGAGAAACGGCCCAGGCUCCUACGGGAGGCAGCAGUAGGGAAUCUUCGGCAAUGGAGGGAAGUCUGGCCGGGCAAAGCCGCGUGAGUGAAGAAGGUUUUCGGAUCGUAAAGCUCUGUUGUAAGAGAAGAAAGAGUGUGAGAGUGGAAAGUUCACGUUGUGACGGUAUCUAAUCAGAAAGGGACGGCUAACUACGUG
Molecule: ribosomal RNA, 497 nt
Filed under: uncultured bacterium
Lineage: Bacteria
Description: partial 16S ribosomal RNA
Rfam family: Bacterial small subunit ribosomal RNA
Source: RNAcentral